Molecule: ribosomal RNA, 219 nt
Filed under: uncultured bacterium
Lineage: Bacteria
Description: partial 16S ribosomal RNA
Rfam family: Bacterial small subunit ribosomal RNA
Source: RNAcentral
GAUCAUGGCUCAAGAUGAACGCUGGCGGCGUGCUUAACACAUGCAAGUCGAGCGAAGCAAUCUAAGUGAAGUUUUCGGAUGAAUCUUAGAUUGACUGAGCGGCGGACGGGUGAGUAACGCGUGGAUAACCUGCCUCACACAGGGGGAUAACAGUUAGAAAUGACUGCUAAUACCGCAUAAGCGCACAGUACCGCAUGGUACAGUGUGAAAAACUCCGGU